GUACUUGGCAGUACGUAUACUAAAAUUGGAAUGCUACAGAGACGGUUAGCAUGACGUCUCUGUGAGGAUGCUGUGCAAAUUCAUGCAGUGUUCCAUAUCGUU
This is a small nuclear RNA of Octodon degus (degu), 102 nucleotides long. Lineage: Eukaryota; Metazoa; Chordata; Mammalia; Rodentia; Octodontidae. The record is from Ensembl.